GAACAUUCUCAUUGUUGAAGUCCACUUCAACUUGUUCCGCAGCGCUACCCUAAGCAUUGGGAUUAGGGCUUCUAAGUUGUAACUAUAAUAGAAAUCACGAGCUACGUUAAUCCCAACGUCUCUGCACUCUGCGAGAUUCUCAGUGAUUCCUCGUCAACACAAUCUCUGAAUUCGAUCACAAACCGUGGAGUACCUUCGUUUCUUCUACUUGGAGGAAUCAGCAAUCGGUUUUCCGUCACUCUCCUCGCAUCCGUUAAAUUAGAGGUGAGCCACUACACCGUAACCGUUUUUUUUUUUUUUUCUGGAUUUGAUCGAUUUGCAUUACUUCAAUUUCAAUGCAAUGCCGUGACGAGGUUCUUAUGAGUCACCAGAUGUAUAUCUCAAUUCUUGUUCGAACUGCAAUUACAUUUACCUGCUUCAUUGUUGCCAGAUCAUACAAAAUUUUUACUUAGAUUAAUUCGGUUAGUUUAUAUUUAGAUCUAAAUCUCGUCACCGCGGCAUUAUUCCGUCAGUAAGAGACUCACAAUUUUUUACUAAUCUUUCAAUACUCCCUCGCCACCGUGAAGAGCUUGUUCUACAUCCUUGAUUGUGUAGACAUUUAAUAUUUUUGCUAUUAUUUUAUUUGCUUGAUAAGGAUAGUAGUUUGUUCUAUUUUGUCACACAUGAUGAUGGUUAAGUUGAAAAUCGCUCUGCCAAGAGUUGCUUUGCAGGCAUACAUGGAAAAGCCGUGCUUAGCUGAUUGUUUUAUGAUUUCUUAUUGCUUUUUAAGGAUGCUUCCUCUGAACACUACUUGCUCUUUGAUUGCAUAUCGUAUACCUUAAUCUAAAUUAUUAGUUAUUUAGCUUCAUUGCAUCAAUUCUACUUUACCCAUCCAAUCCUGAAAGUAAUGAGAAACGAAAUCUGGAAAUGUGAUUACAACAGAAAGUGGAACUACAUCACUGCAUAUGGCAUAAUUUCAUGUUUUCAUUCUGUUUAUAAGGUUUUAGGGAAAUUGUCUUGGCUAUUGGUACAAGGGAAAUAAAUUACAUUAAGUACAAUAAUAUGUCUUUUCUAACCCAUUUCAUGUCAUUUAUGUCUCUACUUGUAUGAAAGGACUAAACGUGAGACUUUCUCUAUCCAUAAUGAAGCACCCAAAAGUUGAACCCAACAUUAUGCCAUUUAAAUCUAAAAAACAGUGAUGAUAUCUUUUUUGGAAUGACUGCUGUAGAACCUAAUUGCAUUUAGCAAUAUAAUUUAUGUUUAAUGGCUUAUUCGGUUCUUAUAACUAAAAGCCCUUGUUCUUUUAAUUUCUAUUUUAAAACAUCAUAUUUUAAAUCCUAGACAACCGUUUUUAAUCCCUUCAAUGAGAAUUAAAAGUGAUUGAAGAUUAUAUGUGUAGGCACUAGAAGGAAAUAUUUAUAGGUAAUAGGGACUAAAAUGAGUGUUUUUAACUAUAGGAACCAAAUGAAAAAUUAAACUUGUAAUUUAUAUGGCUGUUUUAAGGAAAGUUGUUAUGAUAAUACUGUCGAUGUCGAUACUUCCAUGUUUUGAACCUACGGUCUUUCCGUUUAUGUUAGUGGAAGGGAGAGCUAUUUGCUUCCAGUUCACAAUGGCCGAUUUCCUUUUCUCUUUUAGUCAAACAUUUGCCCACAUAUGUGUUAUAUCUACAAGGUCUACAGAAAUAUAAAAUGACUAGAUAGUUCUCCUUGACGCUGAGAUUGAUAAUAAUAGAGAUUUGGGUAUUAUAGAGUGCUUAAGUUUCGUAUCAAGUAGAUGGAGUAGUUAAAUGGUUUGAUUCUCCUCCUUUAGCGGGUAGGUUUUAAGGGAGGGUUUUGCUUGUCUUUCAGAUGCUUAUACCAUUUCUUUGUAUUAGCUUCAUGGCUUGGUAUUCCUUAUUAGGAUGUAUAGGUGCUUAAUUUUUUUGGACAAUGUAUGUUUAAACUUUGCCUUGAAUUUAAAAUAUUUAGACUACUGUAGGCUACCCUUUUCACUAUUGUGUAUAUCAGUGCAGCCAAUAAAUGGCCUACUUUGUUUGAAAAGAGAGCAUGCAUUUCUCUUUACGGUUUUCCUCGUUAGUUUUUUUGUAUGGAUCAGUCAGUUUCUUCUGUUGAUUUGCCAUGUCGUAAGAUAAAUUCUUAUAAGCCUUGUGGGUUGUCAUCUUCAGGCCAAUUCUCCCCCUUUCAGUCUAACAUUAAGUACAAACUGAUGGCAAAGCUAAACUCACCUCAGAAGCCGCAUAUUAUUUCACAAAUCUUGUCAGCUAUUGCAUUUAUGAUUGACUUAAAUGUAACAUCUCUUUCAAUGGAUUAAGUUCACUAAUAAGAAUCUUGAAACUGGAAGCUAGUUUAACAUUUCUCUGAAUUGUUGAAUGUUUGAUUUAUUACUUGCUGAACCUAACCACUGUUAUGCACUUGUUCCAGCCAGAGAGAAGCUGUUAAAGUUUUCAUAUGGAAAGCCACUCCGUCAUCAUAAAAUCCAAGGGAUAGAAAUCUCUUUUGUGCGCCAUCAAUUAAAAAAAUUCCCAUCUUAUAUUCAAUUCAAGUAAGUAGGCAACGUAAUUCCUAAGUUUGUGUAAUAUUUGAACUUGAAAUGCCACUAAAGAACCAUAUUAAAAACGAUUUUUUUAGAAGAUAACCCUAUAGACUAAUCUUAUUUGUUAUAUUUUUCAUUUUUUCCUUAGGGAUGACGUAAAUGAUUGCAAGAUAAUAAAAUAAACAUAAAACAAAGUUGUCAUUGUCGAUUCAUAUACGUUGAACUCGAUAAAGCCAAGCUGGACUGACUGCAGGGCAGGGCCUAAGCUCUCAAAAAAAAGAGGCUACAAAACAUUGGACUGGCCCCAUUCACAUAAAAUCCUAGCUGAAGACAACUAAAAACUAUACAGAUACAUAUACAAAAGCUAUACACUCAACGUACACCAAAAUUCACAGUUAUGUUACAUGAAACUGUUGGACAUUCCCUUCCUACUGCCUCAUCUCUGCAAGAUGAGUUGAAUUUACAG
Molecule: long non-coding RNA, 2977 nt
Filed under: Phaseolus vulgaris (common bean)
Lineage: Eukaryota; Viridiplantae; Streptophyta; Magnoliopsida; Fabales; Fabaceae
Description: long non-coding RNA (PVUL_LNC000003)
Source: RNAcentral